UUGACCUCGGAUCAGGUAGGAAUACCCGCUGAACUUAAGCAUAUCAAUAAGCGGAGGAAAAGAAACCAACAGGGAUUGCCCUUAGUAACGGCGAGUGAAGCGGCAACAGCUCAAAAUUUGAAAUCUGGGCCCUUGGGUCCGAAUUUGUAAUUUGUAGAGGAUGAUUUUGGGUGCGGUAUCUUCCGAGUUCCUUGGAACAGGAACGCCUUUAAAGGGUGAGAGCCCCGUACGGGUGAAUGCCUAGCCUCUGUAAAUCUCCUUCGACGAGUCGAGUGUUGUGUGAAAAAUGAA
This 291-nucleotide ribosomal RNA is filed under the name Pestalotiopsis sp. 14JAES. RNAcentral describes it as "partial 28S ribosomal RNA". It matches the Rfam family "Eukaryotic large subunit ribosomal RNA", at positions 1 to 287 of the family's 3401-position model. The record is from RNAcentral. Lineage: Eukaryota; Fungi; Ascomycota; Sordariomycetes; Amphisphaeriales; Sporocadaceae.